UCGCACCUACCGAUUGGAUGGUCCGGUGAGAAUUUCGGAUUGUAGCAUCGUCGCUUUCAUUAGGGAUAAUGCCGUGAGAAGUUAUUCAAACCUUACCAUCUAGAGGAAGGUG
Molecule: ribosomal RNA, 112 nt
Filed under: uncultured eukaryote
Lineage: Eukaryota
Description: partial small subunit ribosomal RNA
Rfam family: Eukaryotic small subunit ribosomal RNA
Source: RNAcentral